GACGAACCGUGCGAUCGUUAUUCGGAAUCACUGGGCUUAAAGGGUGCGUAGGCGGGUUGCCAAGUCUGUGGUGAAAUCCUCCGGCUUAACCGGAGAACUGCCGUGGAUACUGGCGACCUCGAGGGGUGUAGGGGCUUGCGGAACUGUGCGUGGAGCGGUGAAAUGCGUUGAUAUGCACAGGAACUCCGGUGGCGAAAGCGGCGAGCUGGACACCUUCUGACGCUGAGGCACGAAAGCCAGGGGAGCGAACAGG
Molecule: ribosomal RNA, 253 nt
Filed under: uncultured bacterium
Lineage: Bacteria
Description: partial 16S ribosomal RNA
Rfam family: Bacterial small subunit ribosomal RNA
Source: RNAcentral